RNAcentral lists this ribosomal RNA (870 nucleotides) under Pseudomonas sp. EY4-09-10. RNAcentral's name for it is "bacterial SSU rRNA". It matches the Rfam family "Bacterial small subunit ribosomal RNA", at positions 72 to 949 of the family's 1533-position model. Lineage: Bacteria; Pseudomonadati; Pseudomonadota; Gammaproteobacteria; Pseudomonadales; Pseudomonadaceae. The record is from RNAcentral.
AGAGAAGCUUGCUUCUCUUGAGAGCGGCGGACGGGUGAGUAAUACCUAGGAAUCUGCCUGGUAGUGGGGGAUAACGUUCGGAAACGGACGCUAAUACCGCAUACGUCCUACGGGAGAAAGCAGGGGACCUUCGGGCCUUGCGCUAUCAGAUGAGCCUAGGUCGGAUUAGCUAGUUGGUGAGGUAAUGGCUCACCAAGGCUACGAUCCGUAACUGGUCUGAGAGGAUGAUCAGUCACACUGGAACUGAGACACGGUCCAGACUCCUACGGGAGGCAGCAGUGGGGAAUAUUGGACAAUGGGCGAAAGCCUGAUCCAGCCAUGCCGCGUGUGUGAAGAAGGUCUUCGGAUUGUAAAGCACUUUAAGUUGGGAGGAAGGGCAUUAACCUAAUACGUUAGUGUUUUGACGUUACCGACAGAAUAAGCACCGGCUAACUCUGUGCCAGCAGCCGCGGUAAUACAGAGGGUGCAAGCGUUAAUCGGAAUUACUGGGCGUAAAGCGCGCGUAGGUGGUUUGUUAAGUUGAAUGUGAAAUCCCCGGGCUCAACCUGGGAACUGCAUCCAAAACUGGCAAGCUAGAGUAUGGUAGAGGGUAGUGGAAUUUCCUGUGUAGCGGUGAAAUGCGUAGAUAUAGGAAGGAACACCAGUGGCGAAGGCGACUACCUGGACUGAUACUGACACUGAGGUGCGAAAGCGUGGGGAGCAAACAGGAUUAGAUACCCUGGUAGUCCACGCCGUAACGAUGUCACUAGCCGUUGGGAGUCUUGAACUCUUAGUGGCGCAGCUAACGCAUUAAGUUGACCCCUGGGGAGUACGGCGCAAGGUUAAACUCAAUGAUUGACGGGGCCGCACAGCGGUGGACAUGUGGUUAAU